CUGGCGGCGUGCUUAACACAUGCAAGUCGACGAAGCAAUUCUUACGAUCCUCGGGUGACGAGUAUUGACUGAGUGGCGGACGGGUGAGUAACGCGUGGGUAACCUGCCUGUACAGGGGACGAACAGUUGGAACGACUGCUAAUACCGCAUAAGCGCACAGCUUCGCAUGAAGCAGUGUGAAAAGUUAUUUCGGUACAAGAUGGACCCGCGUCUGAUUAGCUAGUUGGUGAGGUAACGGCCCACCAAGGCGACGAUCAGUAGCCGACCUGAGAGGGUGACCGGCCACAUUGGGACUGAGACACGGCCCAAACUCCUACGGGAGGCAGCAGUGGGGAAUAUUGCACAAUGGGCGCAAGCCUGGUGCAGCCGACGCCGCGUGAGCGAAGAAGUAUUUCGGUAUGUAAAGCUCUAUCAGCAGGGAAGAUAAUGACGGUACCUGACUAAGAAGCACCGGCUAAAUACGUGCCAGCAGCCGC
RNAcentral lists this ribosomal RNA (476 nucleotides) under uncultured bacterium. RNAcentral describes it as "bacterial SSU rRNA". It matches the Rfam family "Bacterial small subunit ribosomal RNA", at positions 36 to 518 of the family's 1533-position model. The record is from RNAcentral.